This 468-nucleotide ribosomal RNA is filed under the name uncultured bacterium. RNAcentral describes it as "partial 16S ribosomal RNA". It matches the Rfam family "Bacterial small subunit ribosomal RNA", at positions 28 to 507 of the family's 1533-position model. The record is from RNAcentral.
GACGAACGCUGGCGGCGUGCUUAACACAUGCAAGUCGAACGGAAAGGCCCUGCUUUUGUGGGGUGCUCGAGUGGCGAACGGGUGAGUAACACGUGAGUAACCUGCCCUUGACUUUGGGAUAACUUCAGGAAACUGGGGCUAAUACCGGAUAGGAGCUCCUGCUGCAUGGUGGGGGUUGGAAAGUUUCGGCGGUUGGGGAUGGACUCGCGGCUUAUCAGCUUGUUGGUGGGGUAGUGGCUUACCAAGGCUUUGACGGGUAGCCGGCCUGAGAGGGUGACCGGCCACAUUGGGACUGAGAUACGGCCCAGACUCCUACGGGAGGCAGCAGUGGGGAAUAUUGCACAAUGGGCGGAAGCCCGAUGCAGCAACGCCGCGUGCGGGAUGACGGCCUUCGGGUUGUAAACCGCUUUCGCCUGUGACGAAGCGUGAGUGACGGUACUGGGUAAAGAAGCACCGGCUAACUACGUG